GAUGAACGCUGGCGGCGUGCCUAAUACAUGCAAGUCGAACGCUGAAGGAGGAGCUUGCUCUUCUGGAUGAGUUGCGAACGGGUGAGUAACGCGUAGGUAACCUGCCUGGUAGCGGGGGAUAACUAUUUGAAACGAUAGCUAAUACCGCAUGACAACAGUUAUUGCAUGAUAACUGUUUAAAAGGGGCAACUGCUCCACUACCAGAUGGACCUGCGUUGUAUUAGCUAGUUGGUGAGGUAACGGCUCACCAAGGCGACGAUACAUAGCCGACCUGAGAGGGUGAUCGGCCACACUGGGACGGGGACACGGCCCAGACUCCUACGGGAGGCAGCAGUAGGGAAUCUUCGGCAAUGGACGGAAGGCUGAACGAGGAACGACGCGGGAGUGAAGAAGGGUGUCGGAUCGUAAAGCUCUGUUGUGAGAGAAGAACGAGUGUGAGAGUGGAAAGUUCACACUGUGACGGUAGCUUAACAGAAAGGGACGGCUAACUACGUG
This 495-nucleotide ribosomal RNA is filed under the name uncultured bacterium. RNAcentral's name for it is "partial 16S ribosomal RNA". It matches the Rfam family "Bacterial small subunit ribosomal RNA", at positions 28 to 507 of the family's 1533-position model. The record is from RNAcentral.